GACGAACGCUGGCGGCGUGCUUAACACAUGCAAGUCGAGCGGUAAGGCCCUUUCGGGGGUACACGAGCGGCGAACGGGUGAGUAACACGUGGGUGACCUGCCCUCAGCUCUGGGAUAAGCCUGGGAAACUGGGUCUAAUACCGGAUAUGACUCCAUGGCGCAUGUUGUGGGGUGGAAAGCCUUGUGCGGCUGAGGAUGGGCCCGCGGCCUAUCAGCUUGUUGGUGGGGUGANGGCCUACCAAGGCGACGACGGGUAGCCGGCCUGAGAGGGCGACCGGCCACACUGGGACUGAGACACGGCCCAGACUCCUACGGGAGGCAGCAGUGGGGAAUCUUGCGCAAUGGGCGAAAGCCUGACGCAGCGACGCCGCGUGAGGGAUGACGGCCU
RNAcentral lists this ribosomal RNA (388 nucleotides) under uncultured bacterium. RNAcentral's name for it is "bacterial SSU rRNA". It matches the Rfam family "Bacterial small subunit ribosomal RNA", at positions 28 to 417 of the family's 1533-position model. The record is from RNAcentral.